ACUAGUUAAAAGGGAAAGGAAAGAUGGGUGUAAAAACAAGAAAAGCAGUCGAUUUCAAGUAGAAGAAGUAAGCACCUGCUUGUUCUCAAAGAUGCUUCUGGUUUUUAAUCAGCUCAGAAGUCUGGAAAACCCUUGUAAGCAAGAAAACAAGCUAUUUCAUCUGGCUUCGGUUUCCAUUUCACCGCCAAGAAGGAUUGAUGGCUUGCGAGUCUGACCUGUCACUCAUGGAAAUUAGCUUGCUUUAUUCAGUUACCCAGGGAACGUUUGGGUUUAUGGACUCCUCUACUGUUAUGAAUUAUACAUGGCCUUUUUUUUCUUCUAUUGUAGAUGGAUCUAUAGUUAAGUAUGCAAUGUUCGAGAGCUUUUAUGGGUCAUAGAAAGCCUGUCAUGAUAGGACUGCAACUAUACUAAAUACUCAACUUUCACUCAUAUACAAAUAAGCAAUCGAAAAUAAGGAUGGGGAAGAUGGUGGAAGAGUAAGGUCCCCAAGUCACCUGUCCCCUCCAAAUUACCUAGAUAACCUUCAAAUCAUCCUGAAAAUUUAUGAAUCCGGCCUGAGAUUUAAAGAGAGAACAGCUGGAAUGCUACAGUGAGAAAAGUUCACGCUUCUAUCAAGUUUACAAGAACAGUUGUUGCCUCAGGAAGACUACACCCUGGAACAUCCUCACUCAGAAAACAAUCACAGGAUGUAGAAGCCACCAGAAGGCAGGGAAGCUCUUACAAUAUGUUGAGGAGAAGGUUGUUCUUCAAGCAAGUGUGUCCCAAGGACCUUCUCAGCAACACUAGGAGAUAAUAAAACAUUCGGGUAAAACUACCAGUGCUGCCAAGAUGAGCUCUAUAACCAAGGGGACUUCCAAGUGCCUCAGGAAUCCUCAGUACCCAAUGGCAUUAAGUGUCCUGCCUGCUACAACGUGUAUGAUGUUUCCUGCGACCCAGUUCUUCUUGCCUGCACUGGUACAGAGACAAAGCGUGUGGAAGUUAUUGGCAUAGGUACAACUAUUUCCACAGGAUUCUUGGUGUUCAUUUUCUCAAAGGAUAUAUCUGUGCUAGUUAUCUUUGCUGUGUAAUCAUUACUCCAAAACUUGGCAGUUUAAAACAAUGAGCAUUUAUUAUUUCAUGGCAUCUGAGGGUCAGGAGUUUGGAAGUGGCCUAGCUAAGUGCUUCUGGCUGAGUUUCUCAUGAAGUUGUAAUCUAGCUGUCAGCAGGGCCUGUCACCAGGAAGACCUGCUUCCAAGAUCACCCAUGUAGUUGUCAGGCUUGGUUCUUCUCUACAUGGGUCUCUGUGUGGGCUGCCUGGAUGUCCUUAUAAUGUAUUCCCCCACAGCAAGUGAUGAGAGAGAGAGAGAGAGAGAUAGAGAGAAGAGAAGAGAAGAGAAGAGAGAAGAGAGAUAAGAGAGAUGGAGGGAGGGAGGAAGAGCACUAACUGGCAUUUCUCAGGGCAAAUGAUGACAGAGGGAGAAGAGGAGGAGAAGAGGGAGGGAGGAAGGAGAUACUACAGUUUCAAAGUAAUCAAAUAUCAGAAGGAACAUUUCUUCACUUCUGUUGUAUCCUGUUGGUUGCACAGAUCAACUCUGAUACAACAUGGGAGAAGAGUAUACAAGGACAUGAAUACUAAGAGAUCGCAGGCCAUCCUAGAGACUAACUACUAUGUACAGCAAAGGCUGAUACAGGGCCAAGUCCUAGUUCACUCUCCAAAGUUUGGAGGGAGCCAUCUGUCAGAAGAGAGAAGGGGGAGAGGAGAGGACGAGGAGAGGAGAGGGAAGAUGAAGAGAACACAACUGCUUUCCACAGGAAAGUCUGACACUUGGGAACAUGUCAUAUCAUGAUCUCCUCGAAUGGGAACUUGGGUCAUUGGCCAUCACCCUCUUCAACAAAGAGGGUGAUACCUCAGUUCUGUUUUUUUUCAUCACUACCAUUAUUGCUAUUACCCAAUCCCCAUGAAUAAGCAUGAUAUGAUUCUGAAAUCUGCAGAAGGACUUGCCAUUUUCCUGAGGAGGAGAAAAGUAUGGACUUGUAAUAAGAUGCACAGAUGCCAUUCAGAUAGAAAACAACAGGUACCAAGGGGCUGUUUAGGUGAAUACAUGAGUUCUGACCUCAGGCUUUUUCCUCUCUUCCAACUAUCUCUUGCCUCGUCAGAAGGUACAGACUCCAAUCUCAGCUAUGCAUCUGACACAGCAGGGGCCCUUUGGGAUUCAUCCUAAACUGAGAUGUCGGGCCCAAAGGGAACUAAGGCUUGGUCCCUGGACAGAGAUGGAGCUGUGGUUCUUGCUUCUUUCACAGAAGGCAGAGGGGAAUUCUGGGGCAUUCUGUGUACCCUUUUCUUCCCCAAGCGAGGCAGAUAGGAUAGGACGUGGGUGAAGAGGGGAGACAAGAUAAGAGAGAAGACUAACUCUUGGAUUUUUCUUUUGGCAGAUAGUCCAAUAUUUAUGAUUUUUGCCAUGGGUUGUGCUACUGAAACUGUCCUCAACUUGAGGAAUAUAAGUAUAUUGAAUAACAUAAAAAUCCGUACCAACUGUACAGAACAAAGCAAUGGAGAUCCCCACUGAUGUUCAUCACCUCAUCAAUCUUGACUGGUCCCUUCUUGCUCAAAGUCUUGCUUUGAAGUUUGCACACUUCCAAGCUCAUAAUUCUACAAACCUGAAAAAGUUGGAGUCCUCUGAUGUCUCCCCUCCCCAACAUUCUCCAGACAUUGCAGAAUUAAGUUGCUGAUAUUUC
Molecule: long non-coding RNA, 2715 nt
Organism: Canis lupus familiaris (dog)
Lineage: Eukaryota; Metazoa; Chordata; Mammalia; Carnivora; Canidae
Exons: 5
Source: RefSeq, a predicted model, not a curated record